AUAAAGCUUUGAUGAUUCAUUGUCUUAUCAAAUCUAAAAAUAAACAUUUUUAUUUACAUUUCCAUAGCUUACACGAUAUAACAACUCAUUUUCUAGAUAUUUAUAGGCUGUUUCUUUUUUUAGGCUCUAGACAGGUUUUGUAGCAGCAGGGGGGAAAGGGGCCCUUUGAAAUGAAAAGGAUGCUGACCCCUGACUUAAGCCACCAGAUGCUCCUGUCACUCCAUUUCCCAGGUCAUCAUAGCACUCCCACACACAUGGAGCUCUCCUGCAGUAUGCAGUGUAAUGCCCCAAACCAUCAGUGGUCAUCUUUCCAUGGAAAGCAAUUAAUGCCCUCAAAGUGAACGACUUUCCUUGGAGAACCAGGUUGGAGGGAAAUUCAUUCAGUGGAAAUUCUGUUUGAUUUGCAAGAGAUGGAUUGGAGAGUGGCCUGAGGCAGGUAGACUCAGGUAGGCCAAGUCCUGCUUCCACAGCCGUGCCAAGAUGAGCCAUACCAGACUCUUUGAGGACAGAGAUGGCAGGAGAAACAAAUGGCACUUCCCUUGUCAUCCCUUUGCUGAGGUUUGUUGGGUCACACCAUCUGUGGCAAUGGCUUUCACCAGCUGCAGGACUGGGUUUUCACUGUCUUUCAGAACAGCAUUUUGAAAUGUGGAGCUGUCACAGAAGGCACAACAUAAGCACUGAAAAAAUGCAUCAAAUGCACAGUUUCAUCUGCAUGGAGCCAUUCUGUACAUGAAGAGAGGUAGGAAGUCCUCUUCCUUUUUUUGGGUGGAACAGCUAGGCCCCUCCAGUUCUCAACUGCAUCCCCAUCAGCCGGAAAAAUGUUUGUGGUAGCAUCAGAUCCCACAAAUGGAACAAAUCCGCAUAUUUCCCUCGAUGAAGGAAAGAUGACGAGCAAUGAAGCGAUCGACUCGAAGAGGUCAGUCUGGAUCUCAUCCACUGAAUCCACUCUCUCACUUUCCUCCGUCUGUUCAUCUGGAAUGAUGAUGGA
Astatotilapia calliptera (eastern happy) is the source of this 988-nucleotide long non-coding RNA. Lineage: Eukaryota; Metazoa; Chordata; Actinopteri; Cichliformes; Cichlidae. The record is from Ensembl.